This 263-nucleotide ribosomal RNA is filed under the name uncultured Bacillus sp. RNAcentral describes it as "partial 16S ribosomal RNA". It matches the Rfam family "Bacterial small subunit ribosomal RNA", at positions 505 to 767 of the family's 1533-position model. Lineage: Bacteria; Bacillati; Bacillota; Bacilli; Caryophanales; Bacillaceae. The record is from RNAcentral.
GUGCCAGCAGCCGCGGUAAUACGUAGGUGGCAAGCGUUGUCCGGAAUUAUUGGGCGUAAAGCGCGCGCAGGCGGUCCUUUAAGUCUGAUGUGAAAGCCCACGGCUCAACCGUGGAGGGUCAUUGGAAACUGGGGGACUUGAGUGCAGAAGAGGAAAGCGGAAUUCCACGUGUAGCGGUGAAAUGCGUAGAGAUGUGGAGGAACACCAGUGGCGAAGGCGGCUUUCUGGUCUGUAACUGACGCUGAGGCGCGAAAGCGUGGGGA